Molecule: non-coding RNA, 557 nt
Filed under: Tribolium castaneum (red flour beetle)
Lineage: Eukaryota; Metazoa; Arthropoda; Insecta; Coleoptera; Tenebrionidae
Description: Eukaryotic large subunit ribosomal RNA
Rfam family: Eukaryotic large subunit ribosomal RNA
Source: Rfam by way of RNAcentral
GCCGGGCCUGUGCCAGGUGAAGCGUUGUUCCGUUUCGGCGGUCAAUGUCGAAUCCGAGUUCGGUCCCGUGCCUUUUGGCCUCCCGCGGAACCGUCUUGCUGCGAGGCUCCGGGUGCGCCCGUCAGGGCGUCCGGAAGUCCUCUUCGGCCGCCAUUCAACGGUCAGCUCAGAACUGGCACGGACCGGGGGAAUCCGACUGUCUAAUUAAAACAAAGCAUUGCGAUGGCCCCUGCGGGUGUUGACGCAAUGUGAUUUCUGCCCAGUGCUCUGAAUGUCAACGUGAAGAAAUUCAAGCAAGCGCGGGUAAACGGCGGGAGUAACUAUGACUCUCUUAUGACCUGGUCGCAGUCUGCCUGGAUGUGUCUAAGGCCUUUGACACAGUUCCUCAUUCUAUCUUAGGACCAGCACUGCGAAUGAAGGGUCUUCCCGAGCAGGUGGUACGGCUUGUGGAAGACUCCUAUAAGGAUCUGCACACAGUCGUCAAACAGGGCACGGCGGAAGUGACCCUAAGUCUCCAGCGAGGGGUGAAACAAGGCGACCCCCUCAGCCCCUUCUUA